Hordeum vulgare subsp. vulgare (domesticated barley) is the source of this 136-nucleotide non-coding RNA. Lineage: Eukaryota; Viridiplantae; Streptophyta; Magnoliopsida; Poales; Poaceae. The record is from Rfam.
UUACUACUCCCUCCGUUUCAAAAUUCUUGUCUUAGAUUUGUCUAGAAAUUGAUGUAUCAAAAUACUAAAACGUGACUAGAUACAUUCAUACAUAGACAAAUCUAAUACAUGAAUUUUGGGACGGAGGGAGUACAAC